UAUCGGAUUGAUACUAAGCCAUGCGAGUCAUUGUAGCAAUACAAGGCAUACGGCUCAGUAACGCGUAGUCAACCUAACCUAUGGACGGGAAUAACCUCGGGAAACUGAGAAUAAUGCCCGAUAGAACAUUAUGCCUGGAAUGGUUUAUGUUCCAAAUGAUUUAUCGCCGUAGGAUGGGACUGCGGCCUAUCAGUUUGUUGGUGAGGUAAUGGCCCACCAAGACUAUUACAGGUACGGGCUCUGAGAGGAGUAGCCCGGAGAUGGGUACUGAGACACGGACCCAGGCCCUAUGGGGCGCAGCAGGCGAGAAAACUUUGCAAUGUGCGAAAGCACGACAAGGUUAAUCCGAGUGGUUUCUGCUAAAGGAACCUUUUGUCAGUCCUAGAAACACUGAUGAAUAAGGGGUGGGCAAGUUCUGGUGUCAGCCGCCGCGGUAAAACCAGCACCUCAAGUGGUCAGGAUGAUUAUUGGGCCUAAAGCAUCCGUAGCCGGCUCUGUAAGUUUUCGGUUAAAUCUGUACGCUCAACGUACAGGCUGCCGGGAAUACUGCAAAGCUAGGGAGUGGGAGAGGUAGACGGUACUCGGUAGGAAGGGGUAAAAUCCUUUGAUCUAUUGAUGACCACCUGUGGGCGAAGGCGGUCUACCAGAACACGUCCGACGGUGAGGGAUGAAAGCUGGGGGAGCAAACCGGAUUAGAAUACCCGGGUAGUCCCAGCUGUAAACCAUGCAAACUCAGUGAUGCAUUGGCUUGKGGCCAAUGCAGUGCUGCAGGGAAGCCGUUAAGUUUGCCGCCUGGGAAGUACGUACGCAAGUAUGAAACUUAAAGGAAUUGGCGGGGGAGCACCACAAGGGGUGAAGCCUGCGGUUCAAUUGGAGUC
This 878-nucleotide ribosomal RNA is filed under the name uncultured archaeon. RNAcentral's name for it is "bacterial SSU rRNA". It matches the Rfam family "Archaeal small subunit ribosomal RNA", at positions 31 to 913 of the family's 1478-position model. The record is from RNAcentral.